This 254-nucleotide ribosomal RNA is filed under the name uncultured bacterium. RNAcentral's name for it is "partial 16S ribosomal RNA". It matches the Rfam family "Bacterial small subunit ribosomal RNA", at positions 524 to 776 of the family's 1533-position model. The record is from RNAcentral.
UACGAAGGGGGCUAGCGUUGCUCGGAUUGACUGGGCGUAAAGGGCGCGUAGGCGGUUCGUACAGUCAGACGUGAAAUUCCUGGGCUCAACCUGGGGGCUGCGUUUGAUACGUGCGGACUUGAGUGCGGAAGAGGGUCGUGGAAUUCCCAGUGUAGAGGUGAAAUUCGUAGAUAUUGGGAAGAACACCGGUGGCGAAGGCGGCGACCUGGUCCGAUACUGACGCUGAGGCGCGAAAGCCGUGGGGAGCAAACAGG